GUGAACGCUGGCGGUAGGCCUAACACAUGCCAGUCGAACGGCAGCACAGUAAGAGCUUGCUCUUACGGGUGGCGAGUGGCGGACGGGUGAGGAAUACAUCGGAAUCUACUUUUUCGUGGGGGAUAACGUAGGGAGACUUACGCUAAUACCGCAUACGACCUACGGGUGAAAGCAGGGGAUCUUCGGACCUUGCGCGAUUGAAUGAGCCGAUGUCGGAUUAGCUAGUUGGCGGGGUAAAGGCCCACCAAGGCGACGAUCCGUAGCUGGUCUGAGAGGAUGAUCAGCCACACUGGAACUGAGACACGGUCCAGACUCCUACGGGAGGCAGCAGUGGGGAAUAUUGGACAAUGGGCGCAAGCCUGAUCCAGCCAUACCGCGUGGGUGAAGAAGGCCUUCGGGUUGUAAAGCCCUUUUGUUGGGAAAGAAAAGCAGCAGGUUAAUACCCCGCUGUUCUGACGGUACCCAAAGAAUAAGCACCGGCUAACUUCGUG
RNAcentral lists this ribosomal RNA (491 nucleotides) under uncultured bacterium. RNAcentral's name for it is "partial 16S ribosomal RNA". It matches the Rfam family "Bacterial small subunit ribosomal RNA", at positions 29 to 507 of the family's 1533-position model. The record is from RNAcentral.